Molecule: transfer RNA, 70 nt
Filed under: Rhododendron simsii
Lineage: Eukaryota; Viridiplantae; Streptophyta; Magnoliopsida; Ericales; Ericaceae
Also listed under: 1 other name
Description: tRNA-Val
Source: RNAcentral
GCGAGGUCUCUGGUUCAAGUCCAGGAUGGCCCAGGGCUAUAGCUCAGUUAGGUAGAGCACCUCGUUUACA